UGCUAGAAAUAGAGCCUUCCUGGAUCUAUAUCUGGAGCUUCUCUGCCUUGAGGAUCAAUUAGACUCAAGAGCCCUUCAGUGGACAAUUUAACCAAGAAACAGCUAACGGCAUCUGGAGCCCAAAAGAUCAGAAAACAUUUGUCCAAGUCAGAAGACUUCAAAAUGAAGAUAGUCUUGCUGCUAGCUGUAAUAAUGGCCUGUGACUUAUUUGAGGUUCAAGGGGAUGCAAAACAAUUCUUAAGGAUGAUAAGAAAAAUCACGGGAAAGAGGUUAUUUUAUCCUUAUGGCUUCAACAGAUGCCAAUGUAAAGAUCAAGAUAAAAGAACUGACAGAUGCUGUUCCGCCCAUGACUGCUGCUAUUUAAAGCUGAAGAAGAAAGGCUGCAAACCCAGAAGAUUGAAAUACCAUUAUGUAAUCCAAGAUCAGUCCGUCAUCUGUGAGAAUGGGAACAAAUGUCAGAAGAAAGUCUGUGCCUGUGAUAAAGCAGCUGCCUACUGUAUGAAGAAAAACGUGAAAAAUUACCAGCAUAACCUAUUUAUCUCCAAGGCUGAGAGCUUUCCCCCUUCCUCAACAAAAAUCAACAAUAAGUAGCCUCAGAGCUCCAACUUGAGAGCCAUCACUGCCCAAUCUUUUUCGGAAUGGUGUUGCUUUGCCAACAGGAUUCACACUAAUUAAUGCAAUCAGUCAACAAAUCUUUAUUAAUUGCUUACUCUGAGCUAGUCAUUCUAAUAUAAAUUACCAACCUCAAUUCCAGAGGCCUGAUGGUAAAAUUUAUUUUCCUUCUCUCAGGAGAGAACUGAAAAAGGAGGGAUGUGGAAUCCAUACCUGUAGAAUUAUGCUGCUGGGAUUUUUGAUUUGGUUUCUUUUAUUGUUCCUUAUUGUUAUGAGGAGGGAAGUGGUUAUUAGGAAGUGAUACUGAUACAGGGGAAAAAAAGUAUCAAUAAAAGAUUGGGUCCAUU
Molecule: long non-coding RNA, 959 nt
Organism: Antechinus flavipes (yellow-footed antechinus)
Lineage: Eukaryota; Metazoa; Chordata; Mammalia; Dasyuromorphia; Dasyuridae
Exons: 5
Source: RefSeq, a predicted model, not a curated record